This 104-nucleotide ribosomal RNA is filed under the name uncultured bacterium. RNAcentral's name for it is "partial 16S ribosomal RNA". The record is from RNAcentral.
AAGGCCUUCGGGUUGUAAACCGCUUUCAGCGGGGAAGAAGGCGAGCGGGUUAAUAGCCCGUCAGCUGACGGUACCCGCAGAAGAAGGUCCGGCUAACUACGUGC